RNAcentral lists this microRNA precursor (101 nucleotides) under Marmota monax (woodchuck). Lineage: Eukaryota; Metazoa; Chordata; Mammalia; Rodentia; Sciuridae. The record is from RNAcentral.
AGUAGAAUUUCUGGAUCAAAUGGAAAUUCUGUUUAACUUUUUGAAUAACUACCAUACCGUUUUUCAUAGUGACUGUACCAUUUUGCAUUUCCAUUGGAAGU